AAAAAACCUAUGGAGCUGCUGCACAUGAUGGGGAAGCAGAAAGUAGGCAUGAGUGACAGCACAGAUACCUCGAGCCCUGAGCAUCCAGAAAUGGGCCAGAUGACCCCUUCAGUAUAUUGGUAUUCUCCAGUGAACAACCUCAAAAGCUCAUCAAACAGUAUGAAAAGAGAAAAGAAGGUCAGAGACGAAGGCCUGGAUGAGCAAAGAGGGCUACAGCUUCUCAAUAACACGAGCAAUGGAAUUCCUUUCUCCUGGUCCAAACAGAAGACAAAGUCAUAAACCAAACCAUGUUUUAUUAUAUAUAUAACUUCAGGCUCUAUCCAAAAAGGAUUUGAGUCUGUGUACAGUAAGGACCAGGGAUAUGGAAAUUCACUAAAAAAUAAACAGUAAAGCAGAACCAAAAGAAUAAGAAAAAGGGAAAGACUGGGAACUUCAUAGGAUAAUAUAAUUCUCCUUGACAUGGUGGAGGAUCACACUGGACUCACAUUGAGUUUUCCAGCAGUGGCAAAUAUGGGAGUAUAAAAUUCUAUAGCUCUUAUUAUGUGAGCAGCAAAAACUCUAAAAGUUGAUUAAAGAAGAUAAAAGUCUUUGUGGGGAUUAUUG
Molecule: long non-coding RNA, 603 nt
Filed under: Aotus nancymaae (Ma's night monkey)
Lineage: Eukaryota; Metazoa; Chordata; Mammalia; Primates; Aotidae
Description: lncRNA (ENSANAG00000039389.1)
Source: RNAcentral